UAAGAUUUCCUGGGUUUUUUAUUCAUUAUUUUCCUUUAUACCUUUAUACCUUUGAAUAUACAUAUAAAGGUUGCCCCCACCCACAGUUUUUUUGUUUUUUUGGUUUUUUUUAGAUAACUCUGGUUAGGCUAAAACACCUGCUAUGGAAACAAGGCUGGUUUUGAACUCACAAAAAUCUGCUUGCCUCAAGCUACUUUGAAAACUUUGGGACUGACAACAUGCCAUGCAGCCACCCCUGCCCACUGAUAAAUGCAUGAAAAUUUAAAAAUUCACCUGUAAUUCCCACAUCUGUAAUCAUCUCGGGUUUUUGGCUGCUGUGGUCACUCGCUUGCUCGACUAUGACUCCUCAGGCCAAAACCCAGUUGGCGUCUAUUGAAUUUUCGAUAACCAUAAG
Myodes glareolus (Bank vole) is the source of this 394-nucleotide long non-coding RNA. RefSeq lists it as uncharacterized. The record is from RefSeq and is a predicted model, not a curated record. Lineage: Eukaryota; Metazoa; Chordata; Mammalia; Rodentia; Cricetidae.